Long non-coding RNA from Bufo bufo (common toad), 281 nucleotides. RefSeq lists it as uncharacterized. Lineage: Eukaryota; Metazoa; Chordata; Amphibia; Anura; Bufonidae. The transcript is spliced from 3 exons. The record is from RefSeq and is a predicted model, not a curated record.
CAGAAUGGGCCCGAGCAAAGAGCAGAGGUCGUGUUGAUUUAGUGAAGCAAACCAAGACCCAGUGGAACAGCUGCCGGGAUCAGUUUCGCCGUGAACUAAAUAAAAAAAAAGGCCGUAGUGGUGAAGGCGGCUCGAAAAAAAGGCCCUAUUUAUACACUGCACAAUUGCAAUUUCUCCGACCUGUUAUGGAUUUGAGGUCUACUGUGGACAGUCUGGAUGAGCCAGAGGAUUCGGAUUUGGGAGGAAGCGACACUCCGGCAGUUUUUUUCACCAGCCACAAG